GACGAACGCUGGCGGCGUGCUUAACACAUGCAAGUCGAACGGAAAGGCCCUGCUUUUGUGGGGUGCUCGAGUGGCGAACGGGUGAGUAACACGUGAGUAACCUGCCCUUGACUUUGGGAUAACUUCAGGAAACUGGGGCUAAUACCGGAUAGGAGCUCCUGCUGCAUGGUGGGGGUUGGAAAGUUUCGGCGGGUGGGGAUGGACUCGCGGCUUAUCAGCUUGUUGGUUGGGUAGUGGCUUACCAAGGCUUUGGCGGGUAGGCGGCCUGAGAGGGUGGACGGCCACAUUGGGACUGAGAUACGGCCCAGACUCCUACGGGAGGCAGCAGUGGGGAAUAUUGCACAAUGGGCGGGAGCCUGAUGCAGCAACGCCGCGUGCGGGAUGACGGCCUUCGGGUUGUAAACCGCUUUCGGCUGUGACGAAGCGUGAGUGACGGUAAUGGGUAAAGAAGCACCGGCUAACUACGUG
RNAcentral lists this ribosomal RNA (468 nucleotides) under uncultured bacterium. RNAcentral's name for it is "partial 16S ribosomal RNA". It matches the Rfam family "Bacterial small subunit ribosomal RNA", at positions 28 to 507 of the family's 1533-position model. The record is from RNAcentral.